GGAGAGGUGGCAGAGUGGCCGAAUGCGCCGGUCUCGAAAACCGGUAUACCCGAAAGGGUAUCGAGAGUUCGAAUCUCUCCCUCUCCG
This 87-nucleotide transfer RNA is filed under the name Planctomycetota bacterium. RNAcentral describes it as "Planctomycetes bacterium tRNA-Ser". It matches the Rfam family "tRNA". Rfam says of the family: Transfer RNA (tRNA) molecules are approximately 80 nucleotides in length. Their secondary structure includes four short double-helical elements and three loops (D, anti-codon, and T loops). The record is from RNAcentral. Lineage: Bacteria; Pseudomonadati; Planctomycetota.